This 494-nucleotide ribosomal RNA is filed under the name uncultured bacterium. RNAcentral describes it as "partial 16S ribosomal RNA". It matches the Rfam family "Bacterial small subunit ribosomal RNA", at positions 28 to 507 of the family's 1533-position model. The record is from RNAcentral.
GACGAACGCUGGCGGCGUGCUUAACACAUGCAAGUCGAACGGAAAGGCCUGCUUUCCCUUGUGGAUUGCGGGUACUCGAGUGGCGAACGGGUGAGUAACACGUGAGUGAUCUGCCCCCAACUUGGGUAUAAGCCUGGGAAACUGGGUCUAAUUCCCGAUAGGACUGCAGGGUGGUGCCUGUGGUGGAAAACGAUUUUCUAGUGGUUGGGGAUGAGCUCGCGGCCUAUCAGCUUGUUGGUGGGGUAAUGGCCUACCAAGGCGGCGACGGGUAGCCGGCCUGGGAGGGUGGACGGCCACAUUGGGACUGGGAUCCGGCCCAGACUCCUGCGGGAGGCAGCAGUGGGGAAUAUUGCACAAUGGGCGGGAGCCUGAUGCAGCGACGCCGCGUGGGGGAUGACGGCCUUCGGGUUGUAAACUCCUUUCGACCGCGAGGAAGCCACGUGGUUGGAAGGGUGGUGACGGUAGUGGUAGAAGAAGCACCGGCUAACUACGUG